RNAcentral lists this RNase P RNA (421 nucleotides) under Oscillibacter sp. RNAcentral describes it as "RNase P RNA component class A". It matches the Rfam family "Bacterial RNase P class A". From Rfam's summary of the family: Ribonuclease P (RNase P) is a ubiquitous endoribonuclease, found in archaea, bacteria and eukarya as well as chloroplasts and mitochondria. Its best characterised activity is the generation of mature 5'-ends of tRNAs by cleaving the 5'-leader elements of precursor-tRNAs. Cellular RNase Ps are ribonucleoproteins. The record is from RNAcentral. Lineage: Bacteria; Bacillati; Bacillota; Clostridia; Eubacteriales; Oscillospiraceae.
CGAGGAAGACAGACAGUCGCGUGGGCAGGCCGAAAGGCCGUCUAUGAGGAAAGUCCGGGCUCCAUAGGGCAAGGAUAACGGGUAACGCCCGCCGAAGGCGACUUCAGGAAAAGUGCAACAGAGAGAUACCGCCCCGCUGUCCCUUGAGGAAGGCGCCGGGAGGCCGAGUCAACAGCAAUCAACCCUUUGAUUGUUGGCGAUGACGCAGAACGGGCUGCGGGGUAAGGAUGGAAAGGUGCGGUAAGAGCGCACCCGGCGGCUCGAGAGUGUCCGCCGCUGUAAACUCUAUCCGGAGCAACACCGGUAUGGGAGCACACAGGCUGGCCCGGCCGCUCCCGGGGUGGCUAGAGCGCAUUGGCAACAGUGCGUCGAGAUAGAUGACUGUCUAAUACAGAACCCGGCUUACAGUCUUGCUCGCAAA